GAAGUAGAGCUGUUGGAAGUAUAGCUGUCUGAAGUAGAGCUGUUAUAAAAAGCUGUUUGCUAUUUGGUAACUACAUUCGUAAAGUGCUGUGGUACUUUGUUUUGUGUUUGGUAAACAAACUGAGAAAGUACUUUUGUAUGACAAAAUUACCAUAAAGGAUAUUGCAUAGUAUUAUACAACAGAACAUAAUAAAACAUAACAUAAAUUAAUACAUAAAUAUACGAUAUAGUAUAAUAUUAUUGUAAUAUAAAAUAAUAUUAUGUUAAUAUAG
RNAcentral lists this long non-coding RNA (271 nucleotides) under Phoenix dactylifera (date palm). RNAcentral describes it as "long non-coding RNA (PDAC_LNC000552)". Lineage: Eukaryota; Viridiplantae; Streptophyta; Magnoliopsida; Arecales; Arecaceae. The record is from RNAcentral.